CUUUUUUUUCCAAUCCCACAGAUCUCACUUCCAUUUUUUUUUUUUUCCAAAAGAUAUGUUCUCCUCUGUUUCUUUUCCUUUCACUUCUUCAUCUUCCCCUUCUUUUCAACUUAUUGCUCCUCUCAUGUCCGUUCUUUCUUUCACUUGAAUAAGGUAUGGAGGGUUGUGAGGGAAGAAUCCGCCGUCGAUUGAGAAGAGACGUGAUCCAAUUAUUAUGGUGAAGAAGAAGAAGCAAAAUAGAUAAUUAACUUUGGCAUCUUCGAUUUAAAGUUUGGAUUUUUCUGAAAGAUAUUUAAGAAACUGAGACAGGAGGAAGAAGAAGAAGAAGAACAACAAGACGGCUUGCCGAGAGAGACAUGUUCAGAAUCAGUAGCGUACUGGCUGAAGAAGCUCCGGUGAGUGGAGCAGACAAAGCAACGAAGGAAAAACUCUGGAGGCGGCAGAGAGGAUGAAAGCAUAAAGCAUUUAGGUUUAGGGUUUUCUAUUUGGUUUAGAUUUUUUUUUUGUCAUCUGAGAAUUUUUCAUUCAACUUAACUGAAGCAUACAACA
Brassica oleracea var. oleracea is the source of this 549-nucleotide long non-coding RNA. RefSeq lists it as uncharacterized. The record is from RefSeq and is a predicted model, not a curated record. The transcript has 2 exons. Lineage: Eukaryota; Viridiplantae; Streptophyta; Magnoliopsida; Brassicales; Brassicaceae.